This 428-nucleotide ribosomal RNA is filed under the name uncultured bacterium. RNAcentral's name for it is "bacterial SSU rRNA". It matches the Rfam family "Bacterial small subunit ribosomal RNA", at positions 355 to 776 of the family's 1533-position model. The record is from RNAcentral.
UUUCGAAUCAUUCACAAUGGGCGAAAGCCUGAUGGUGCGACGCCGCGUGAGGGAUGAAGGUCUUCGGAUUGUAAACCUCUGUCACUGGGGAGAAAACGCUUUGAGUUAAUAGUUCAAAGCCUGAUUUAACCCGGAGAGGAAGCAGUGGCUAACUCUGUGCCAGCAGCCGCGGUAAUACAGAGACUGCAAGCGUUAUUCGGAUUCACUGGGCGUAAAGGGUGCGCAGGCGGCCGUGUGUGUAAGGUGUGAAAUCCCGGGGCUCAACCCCGGAACUGCGCCUUAAACUACAUGGCUAGAGUAUUGGAGAGGGUAGUGGAAUUCACGGUGUAGCAGUGAAAUGCGUAGAUAUCGUGAGGAACACCAGAGGCGAAGGCGACUACCUGGACAAUUACUGACGCUCAGGCACGAAAGCGUGGGGAGCAAAAGGG